Molecule: ribosomal RNA, 600 nt
Filed under: Enterobacteriaceae bacterium 113(2013)
Lineage: Bacteria; Pseudomonadati; Pseudomonadota; Gammaproteobacteria; Enterobacterales; Enterobacteriaceae
Description: bacterial SSU rRNA
Rfam family: Bacterial small subunit ribosomal RNA
Source: RNAcentral
GAUUUGGAGGUUGUGCCCUUGAGGCGUGGCUUCCGGAGCUAACGCGUUAAAUCGACCGCCUGGGGAGUACGGCCGCAAGGUUAAAACUCAAAUGAAUUGACGGGGGCCCGCACAAGCGGUGGAGCAUGUGGUUUAAUUCGAUGCAACGCGAAGAACCUUACCUGGUCUUGACAUCCACAGAAGUUUCCAGAGAUGGGAACGUGCCUUCGGGAACUGUGAGACAGGUGCUGCAUGGCUGUCGUCAGCUCGUGUUGUGAAAUGUUGGGUUAAGUCCCGCAACGAGCGCAACCCUUAUCCUUUGUUGCCAGCGGUCCGGCCGGGAACUCAAAGGAGACUGCCAGUGAUAAACUGGAGGAAGGUGGGGAUGACGUCAAGUCAUCAUGGCCCUUACGACCAGGGCUACACACGUGCUACAAUGGCGCAUACAAAGAGAAGCGACCUCGCGAGAGCAAGCGGACCUCAUAAAGUGCGUCGUAGUCCGGAUUGGAGUCUGCAACUCGACUCCAUGAAGUCGGAAUCGCUAGUAAUCGUGGAUCAGAAUGCCACGGUGAAUACGUUCCCGGGCCUUGUACACACCGCCCGUCACACCAUGGGAGUGGG